Molecule: transfer RNA, 76 nt
Filed under: Clostridium sp.
Lineage: Bacteria; Bacillati; Bacillota; Clostridia; Eubacteriales; Clostridiaceae
Also listed under: 5 other names
Description: tRNA-Gln
Rfam family: tRNA
About the family: Transfer RNA (tRNA) molecules are approximately 80 nucleotides in length. Their secondary structure includes four short double-helical elements and three loops (D, anti-codon, and T loops).
Source: RNAcentral
UGGGGCGUCGCCAAGUGGUAAGGCAGCUGGUUUUGGUCCAGCCAUUCCGGAGGUUCGAAUCCUUCCGCCCCAGCCA